Bacteroidetes bacterium GWA2_31_9 is the source of this 36-nucleotide non-coding RNA. NCBI's taxonomy places the organism in Bacteria, Pseudomonadati, Bacteroidota. The record is from Rfam.
ACAGCGGUUUGCCGAAAAGCUGGGAUAGAGUAGGCG